Long non-coding RNA from Perognathus longimembris pacificus (Pacific pocket mouse), 224 nucleotides. RefSeq lists it as uncharacterized. The transcript has 3 exons. The record is from RefSeq and is a predicted model, not a curated record. Lineage: Eukaryota; Metazoa; Chordata; Mammalia; Rodentia; Heteromyidae.
UAAUUCAUUUAUAUGUAUAUAUAAAUGCAUGUACUCAAAUGAAUGACAACGAUAUAAUGAACCCAAUAUAUGGAGCUGACAGGAUGACUACUAGUAACUUCAGAGUUUUCACUUGAGAACUUUAUUCAGCAGAAGGGUUGGCAAACCCCAGCCAAGGGGUUAAAUAGGGCUCACAGAUUAUUUUUCCAGGUAUAGUUAUAUUAAAACUCAGGGCAGGCCAUCUC